Molecule: RNA transcript, 657 nt
Organism: Corticium candelabrum
Lineage: Eukaryota; Metazoa; Porifera; Homoscleromorpha; Homosclerophorida; Plakinidae
Gene name: short coiled-coil protein A-like
Exons: 5
Source: RefSeq, a predicted model, not a curated record
UCAUAUCCCGGAUACUCUAAACGUCAUGAACUAAAGCCGGAAGCUCGAUGACAGACGAUCGUGACCUGGAAGACGUCCCACUCGACGACAGCUUUGCUGCCCAUGCAUGGUCACGUGACCUACCUGGAGAUGAUGUAUUUGUGCAAAACGAAUCUCAACUUGAAGAGGACAGAUUGAAAAGAGAUGUUAUGAGAAAAGAAACUACGAAAGACGAACGCCUUUUAGACUGCACACAAGGAGUGGAUGGCAAUUUGACUGAAUCUGAUGAGAAGGCACAGCUUAUUGAUCAAAUUCUGGAGCUGCAAAGCACACUAGAAGAUCUAGCACGUCGUGUGGAAAGUGUAACUGAAGAAAAUAUGAAAUUCAAGUCUGAAAAUCAAGUACUUGCUCAGUACAUAGAGAACUUGCUGGCAUCAUCAGCAACAUUUCAACAUGCUACAAAGCAACCAAAAGAUGAAAGCUGACGUCUUGGACAUAAAACGUUGAACACCAAUUACUGCGGUUUCUUCCAAUUCAGCACAAGUAGAAAUAUGAGAAGUAUGUGUUCCACAAGUUUGUCUUGUUGUAAGGUCUGGAUUUAAAAACUACAUUAAUGGGCUUGAAGGCAAGAUUAACAGUUAUUGAGACUAUUCUGCAAUAUGUGUUAAUUAUUUCUGU